UUGGUCCUACGGGACGCAGCAGUGAGGAAUAUUGGUCAAUGGGCGAGAGCCUGAACCAGCCAAGUCGCGUGAGGGAAGACGGUCCUAUGGAUUGUAAACCUCUUUUGCCGGGGAGCAAAAAGCGGUACGCGUACCGCAUCGAGAGUACCCGGAGAAAAAGCAUCGGCUAACUCCGUGCCAGCAGCCGCGGUAAUACGGAGGAUGCGAGCGUUAUCCGGAUUUAUUGGGUUUAAAGGGUGCGCAGGCGGCGAGUUAAGUCAGCGGUAAAAUUUAGGGGCUCAACACCGACAAGCCGUUGAAACUGG
This 305-nucleotide ribosomal RNA is filed under the name uncultured bacterium. RNAcentral's name for it is "bacterial SSU rRNA". It matches the Rfam family "Bacterial small subunit ribosomal RNA", at positions 333 to 636 of the family's 1533-position model. The record is from RNAcentral.